AUACUUACGUGGCAGGGGAGAAAUACCAUGAUCAUGAAAGUUGUUUUCUCAGGGCAGGACCUAUCUAUUGCACUCUGGAUGUGCUGACCCCUGUGAUUUCCCCAAAUGUGGGAAACUUAACUGCAUAAUUUGUGUUAAUAGGGGACUGUGUUUGCUACUUUAA
Molecule: small nuclear RNA, 163 nt
Organism: Apodemus sylvaticus (European woodmouse)
Lineage: Eukaryota; Metazoa; Chordata; Mammalia; Rodentia; Muridae
Product: U1 spliceosomal RNA
Exons: 1
Source: RefSeq, a predicted model, not a curated record